GGGGCUGUUGCUCAGCGGAAGAGCAUCUGCUUGGCGUGCCGACAGUGCCAGGUUCAGCCCCUGGUGUCUCCA
RNAcentral lists this transfer RNA (72 nucleotides) under Sphaerodactylus townsendi. RNAcentral describes it as "tRNA-Ala". It matches the Rfam family "tRNA". Rfam says of the family: Transfer RNA (tRNA) molecules are approximately 80 nucleotides in length. Their secondary structure includes four short double-helical elements and three loops (D, anti-codon, and T loops). The record is from RNAcentral. Lineage: Eukaryota; Metazoa; Chordata; Lepidosauria; Squamata; Sphaerodactylidae.